UACGAAGGGGGCUAGCGUUGCUCGGAAUUACUGGGCGUAAGGGCGCGUAGGCGGACAGUUUAGUCAGAGGUGAAAGCCCAGGGCUCAACCUUGGAAUUGCCUUUGAUACUGGCUGUCUUGAGUUCGGGAGAGGUGAGUGGAAUGCCGAGUGUAGAGGUGAAAUUCGUAGAUAUUCGGCGGAACACCAGUGGCGAAGGCGGCUCACUGGCCCGAUACUGACGCUGAGGCGCGAAAGCGUGGGGAGCAAACAGG
RNAcentral lists this ribosomal RNA (252 nucleotides) under uncultured bacterium. Its description in RNAcentral is "partial 16S ribosomal RNA". It matches the Rfam family "Bacterial small subunit ribosomal RNA", at positions 524 to 776 of the family's 1533-position model. The record is from RNAcentral.